Molecule: long non-coding RNA, 407 nt
Organism: Nerophis ophidion (straightnose pipefish)
Lineage: Eukaryota; Metazoa; Chordata; Actinopteri; Syngnathiformes; Syngnathidae
Exons: 4
Source: RefSeq, a predicted model, not a curated record
CGUUCGACGUGUGUUAAUGUGUGGUAACUUGUUUCUCUGCUAUGUUUAAUCGGUGCUCUAGUCUUGGACGAUUUUAGUAAAUUCACCAAAAUGUCUCCAUGGAGUUAUUGAGUUGGCGGCCAGUGGGUCCAUGACAAUGACUUCUGUUUUACUGCCGUGUGACAGGCACCGUUUGGAAACAGUUAAGGUGAUGCUGUACAGCUCCACAAACUUGGCCUGAGUGGACACAAUCACAUUGACAUCGAGGGAAGGACAGCAGGAGCAGCCAAUGACCUCUGCUGUCGGACGACAGGGCAAGGGGGAGCACCUGGGAGGAGUAUGGGUUAAUAGUUUAUGAAAGACACGGCCACUGUUUAUCCAAUGACUGUGUGCAGGAUCAAGACCCUCAAAUAAAGUUAACCAUGUGA